Long non-coding RNA from Archocentrus centrarchus (flier cichlid), 315 nucleotides. RefSeq lists it as uncharacterized. Lineage: Eukaryota; Metazoa; Chordata; Actinopteri; Cichliformes; Cichlidae. The transcript has 3 exons. The record is from RefSeq and is a predicted model, not a curated record.
CUGAGUUUGACAAAAAAUGAACACGGGACCUGAUUGAGGUCAGGCUUGCAUUUAAAUUAUCAUCAAAUAUUAAUGUGACCUUUAUUUUGCUUUCCUGAGGGAAUAAUUCUUUUAAGACAACAGAAAGAUCACAUUUCACAUGGAAACAGACUACACUGGUAAUUAGACGGGCCUUCGCUGGCCUGCAGCUUUCUGCGCUGAACUUGCCAGGCACUGUGGUGCGGAGAGAGAGAGAGACUGCUGAGAAACUGUGAUGAGGACAAGACUAACAGAAGUCAGGGCACGAAUCUACUGUGCGGUGUUGGGUCUGGUGGA